RNAcentral lists this ribosomal RNA (497 nucleotides) under uncultured bacterium. Its description in RNAcentral is "partial 16S ribosomal RNA". It matches the Rfam family "Bacterial small subunit ribosomal RNA", at positions 28 to 507 of the family's 1533-position model. The record is from RNAcentral.
GAUGAACGCUGGCGGCGUGCCUAAUACAUGCAAGUCGAGCGAACGGACGAGAAGCUUGCUUCUCUGAUGUUAGCGGCGGACGGGUGAGUAACACGUUGAUAACCUACCUAUAAGACUGGGAUAACUUCGGGAAACCGGAGCUAAUACCGGAUAAUAUUUUGAACCGCAUGGUUCAAAAGUGAAAGACGGUCUUGCUGUCACUUAUAGAUGGAUCCGCUCUGCAUUAGCUAGUUGGUAAGGUAACGGCUUACCAAGGCAACGAUGCAUAGCCGACCUGAGAGGGUGAUCGGCCACACUGGAAAUGAGACACGGUCCAGACUCCUACGGGAGGCAGCAGUAGGGAAUCUUCCGCAAUGGGCGAAAGCCUGACGGAGCAACGCCGCGUGAGUGAUGAAGGUCUUCGGAUCGUAAAACUCUGUUAUUAGGGAAGAACAUAUGUGUAAGUAACUGUGCACAUCUUGACGGUACCUAAUCAGAAAGCCACGGCUAACUACGUG